AGAGUUUGAUCCUGGCUCAGAUUGAACGCUGGCGGAAUGCUUUACACAUGCAAGUCGAGCGGCAGCGCGGGGGCAACCCUGGCGGCGAGCGGCGAACGGGUGAGUAACACAUCGGAACGUACCCAGUUGUGGGGGAUAGCCCGGCGAAAGCCGGAUUAAUACCGCAUACGACCUGAGGGUGAAAGGGGGGGAUCGCAAGACCUCUCGCAGUUGGAGCGGCCGAUGGCGGAUUAGCUAGUUGGUGAGGUAAAGGCUCACCAAGGCGACGAUCCGUAGCUGGUCUGAGAGGACGACCAGCCACACUGGAACUGAGACACGGUCCAGACUCCUACGGGAGGCAGCAGUGGGGAAUUUUGGACAAUGGGGGCAACCCUGAUCCAGCCAUUCCGCGUGAGUGAAGAAGGCCUUCGGGUUGUAAAGCUCUUUCGGCAGGAACGAAACGGUGGGGGCUAAUACCUCUBAUCAAUGACGGUACCUGAAGAAGAAGCACCGGCUAACUACGUGCCAGCAGCCGCGGUAAUACGUAGGGUGCGAGCGUUAAUCGGAAUUACUGGGCGUAAAGCGUGCGCAGGCGGUUCUAUAAGACAGAUGUGAAAUCCCCGGGCUUAACCUGGGAACUGCGUUUGUGACUGUAGGACUCGAGUGUGGCAGAGGGGGGUGGAAUUCCACGUGUAGCAGUGAAAUGCGUAGAGAUGUGGAGGAACACCGAUGGCGAAGGCAGCCCCCUGGGUCAACACUGACGCUCAUGCACGAAAGCGUGGGGAGCAAACAGGAUUAGAUACCCUGGUAGUCC
Molecule: ribosomal RNA, 793 nt
Filed under: uncultured bacterium
Lineage: Bacteria
Description: bacterial SSU rRNA
Rfam family: Bacterial small subunit ribosomal RNA
Source: RNAcentral